UACGUAGGUGGCGAGCGUUAUCCGGAAUUAUUGGGCGUAAAGGGUGCGUAGGCGGCCAUGUAAGUUUAAGGUCAAAUUGCGGGGCUCAACCCCGUCCUGCCUUAGAUACUGCACGGCUAGAGUACUGGAGAGGGAAGUGGAAUUCCAUGUGUAGCGGUAAAAUGCGUAGAUAUAUGGAGGAACACCGGAGGCGAAGGCGGCUUCCUGGACAGAGACUGACGCUCAGGCACGAAAGCGUGGGGAGCAAAUA
Molecule: ribosomal RNA, 250 nt
Filed under: uncultured prokaryote
Description: partial 16S ribosomal RNA
Rfam family: Bacterial small subunit ribosomal RNA
Source: RNAcentral